This 70-nucleotide transfer RNA is filed under the name Marmota monax (woodchuck). It matches the Rfam family "tRNA". Rfam says of the family: Transfer RNA (tRNA) molecules are approximately 80 nucleotides in length. Their secondary structure includes four short double-helical elements and three loops (D, anti-codon, and T loops). Lineage: Eukaryota; Metazoa; Chordata; Mammalia; Rodentia; Sciuridae. The record is from Rfam by way of RNAcentral.
UGAUGUAGCUUCAUGGUAGAGCCCUUGCCUGGCAUGCUUGAAGCCCUGGGUUUAAUCCCCAGUACUUCAA